This is a long non-coding RNA of Hydra vulgaris (swiftwater hydra), 523 nucleotides long. RefSeq lists it as uncharacterized. The record is from RefSeq and is a predicted model, not a curated record. NCBI's taxonomy places the organism in Eukaryota, Metazoa, Cnidaria, Hydrozoa, Anthoathecata, Hydridae.
UAGAGUAACUUGUGUAUAAAAUAAUUUAUUUUGUGUUGUGAAAAUAUGCUCGCAAACUUUAUGCUCGCAAAAAGUAUUAAAAAUUCGGAUAUUUUACUAAGAAAAUCAACUAUAGACGGUUUAAUGUGCUUAGUGAUUCGUGGAAGAUUUAACAACUAGGUGGAAGAUUUAACAACGAGGCUUGAAUGCUCUAUAGUUUGAAAUAAAAAAAUAUGUGCUCUAUUUUGACAACUUUUAUAGAAAGACUAACACGCAACUUCAUAAACAAAGUAAAUAAAAAAAAAAAAGAAAAGUAUUUUCCAAAUCAGGUGUCCUAAGAAAACCUAAUGAUCUUGUUGCAGACAAAUGACCACGGAAGAUCAUUUAACUAGGAAGUUCACGCUUUCUUUCUUACCAACUGCGCAAAGUAUGCCCAAAGCUCGUGGAUUUCUUAGUUCUAAAUCAAGCGCUCAAACUACUGCACCAUGGUUGCUUAAAAAUAAUUUUAACAUUAAUUUAUAACUUCAAAAAAUAGUUUGAAUAA